This 110-nucleotide transfer RNA is filed under the name Candidatus Woesearchaeota archaeon. Its description in RNAcentral is "tRNA-Leu". It matches the Rfam family "tRNA". From Rfam's summary of the family: Transfer RNA (tRNA) molecules are approximately 80 nucleotides in length. Their secondary structure includes four short double-helical elements and three loops (D, anti-codon, and T loops). Lineage: Archaea; Nanobdellati; Candidatus Woesearchaeota. The record is from RNAcentral.
GGGCCCGUAGCUCAGUCUGGCAGAGCACCUGUUUUAGGACCAGGGGGUCGCGGGUUCAAAUCGGAUGAUGUCGCUUUGCGAUGUCUUUCGGGAAAGUCCCGUCGGGCCCA